UUGAAAGAAAAGCAAAUCCAUCAAGAGGGGUCCCCUUAGACAAGGUGAGAUGCAAUUCACAUUUCCCACCUCUCUCCACUCCCACAGCCAACACAAAAAGGACUUUCAGCCAAUAUGUCGCUCUGACACGCGAAUCCACGCUCUACAGAUUUGGCCUCUGGAGUAUGGGAUGCUGGCCCCACGCUAUCCUGGCGAUUGAUUCACGAACGAUUAAACCUGAUGACUGCUCAAGGCUGAUAAUUUGACUGCUAUAGAGACUGGGCAGUUGAGUGCUUUGUCAGAAACUGCCCCCCCCCCCCGGGGUAGUUGGCUACGAGAGACUGCGAAGUUGACUCAGGAGCCCCACGGUGGGAAAAAUUAAGCUGUACACCCAUGUGAUAAUAACAGCAAUAGAAAGAGAGGCAGAGCCUCCACCCACACACCGAGUCAGAAAUACCUCAGCACUCAAGGAAACUCCCAUUUUUUCUAUCUUGACUCCUGACUCCAAGAGGGAGUGGCAAGUGUGAUUACAAGCCUUGAACCUGUGGUGUGUGGGCACCAGUCAAAGUGAAUUAAACCUAAAGAAAACAGCAGCCGGCAGUGGAGAUAAAGCCAUGUCUUCAGGAAUCCAGAUGUUCCUUGACCUUCUGGAAGGAGUAGCACCACAGAACCUGCAUUCUUGAGGAUUCUAGUUUUCAUGUUUAUUGUUAUAACAUUUGUGAUGGUAUGUACAAAACUCAAACAAAAUUAAACCAGAAAAAAAAAAGCCCUAGCAUGGAGAGGUAAAGUGGGCAUGGAUUUGGCCCCUACUUUAGGAGGUAGUAGCAAUCGGGGGACUUGUAUUUUAAGC
Non-coding RNA from Peromyscus maniculatus bairdii (prairie deer mouse), 829 nucleotides. The record is from RefSeq and is a predicted model, not a curated record. Lineage: Eukaryota; Metazoa; Chordata; Mammalia; Rodentia; Cricetidae.